UGACGAUUAUUACAUUUUAACCGCGCGUAUGAGUUUUCUCGAUGAAGUACAAAGGAGAAAAUUUGGUUGAAUUUCUUGAUAUCAGUCA
Small nucleolar RNA from Lupinus angustifolius (narrow-leaved blue lupine), 88 nucleotides. NCBI's taxonomy places the organism in Eukaryota, Viridiplantae, Streptophyta, Magnoliopsida, Fabales, Fabaceae. The record is from Rfam.